Long non-coding RNA from Juglans microcarpa x Juglans regia, 313 nucleotides. RefSeq lists it as uncharacterized. NCBI's taxonomy places the organism in Eukaryota, Viridiplantae, Streptophyta, Magnoliopsida, Fagales, Juglandaceae. The record is from RefSeq and is a predicted model, not a curated record. The transcript has 3 exons.
GAAUGCAGGCUCUUGAAGAAGGACGAAGUAGUAAGCUGUGGUGAAUCGCUGACAUUUAGCGCUUAUCUUAUUGACAUCCUCGAUGCCCGGGAAGGUCAUAAGCCUAUAACUGAUUUGAAUUCACAAGGAAGAAAUAUGAAAAUCACCGGGAAACCUAGUUUGAUGCAUCGACAAAAGUUUAGGAACCGUUCGGUUUCUUCUGAUAGACAGAAUUAUGAGGAGAAGAAUAACAAAGCAUGGAAAACUUUGAGCCCGUCACGCAAAAUCAUCAGAGAGUUUAAGAAGAGCGAAGCGCAGAAGUACCCAGCACCGC